This 601-nucleotide ribosomal RNA is filed under the name uncultured bacterium. RNAcentral's name for it is "bacterial SSU rRNA". It matches the Rfam family "Bacterial small subunit ribosomal RNA", at positions 122 to 739 of the family's 1533-position model. The record is from RNAcentral.
CAACCUGCCUUUCAGAGGGGGACAACAGUUGGAAACGACUGCUAAUACCGCAUAAAAUAACGGAACCGCAUGAUUCUGUUAUCAAAGGAGAAAUCCGCUGAAAGAUGGGCUCGCGUCUGAUUAGAUAGUUGGUGAGGUAACGGCCCACCAAGUCGACGAUCAGUAGCCGGACUGAGAGGUUGAACGGCCACAUUGGGACUGAGACACGGCCCAGACUCCUACGGGAGGCAGCAGUGGGGGAUAUUGGACAAUGGGGGAAACCCUGAUCCAGCGAUGCCGCGUGAGGGAAGAAGGUUUUCGGAUUGUAAACCUCUGUGGACAGGGACGAUAAUGACGGUACCUGUCAAGAAAGCCACGGCUAACUACGUGCCAGCAGCCGCGGUAAUACGUAGGUGGCGAGCGUUGUCCGGAAUUACUGGGUGUAAAGGGAGUGUAGGCGGGAAGGCAAGUCAGAAGUGAAAAUUAUGGGCUCAACCCAUAACCUGCUUUUGAAACUGUUUUUCUUGAGUGAAGCAGAGGCAAGCGGAAUUCCUAGUGUAGCGGUGAAAUGCGUAGAUAUUAGGAGGAACACCAGUGGCGAAGGCGGCUUGCUGGGCUUUUU